GACGAACGCUGGCGGCGUGCUUAACACAUGCAAGUCGAACGGAAAGGCCCUGCUUUUGUGGGGUGCUCGAGUGGCGAACGGGGGAGUAACACGUGAGUAACCUGCCCUUGACUUUGGGAUAACUUCAGGAAACUGGGGCUAAUACCGGAUAGAAGCUCCUGCUGCAUGGUGGUGAUUGGAAAGUUUCGGCGGUUGGGGAUGGACUCGCGGGUUAUCAGCUUGUUGGUGGGGUAGUGGCGUACCAAGGCUUUGACGGGUAGCCGGCCUGAGAGGGUGACCGGCCACAUUGGGACUGAGAUACGGACCAGACUCCUACGGGAGGCAGCAGUCGGGAGUAUUGCACAGUGGGGGGACGCCUGAUGCAGAGACCCCGCGUGCGGGAUGACGGCUUUCGGGUUGUAAACCGCUUUCGCCUGUGACGAAGCGUGCGUGACGGUAAUGGGUAAAGAAGCACCGGCUAACUACGUG
This 468-nucleotide ribosomal RNA is filed under the name uncultured bacterium. RNAcentral's name for it is "partial 16S ribosomal RNA". It matches the Rfam family "Bacterial small subunit ribosomal RNA", at positions 28 to 507 of the family's 1533-position model. The record is from RNAcentral.